CAGCCGUAAACUAUGCGCGUUAGGUGUGCUGGUGACCACGUGUCACCGGGGUGCCGAAGGGAAACCGUGAAACGUGCCGCCUGGGAAGUACGGUCGCGAGGCUGAAACUUAAAGGAAUUGGCGGGGAGCACCACAACGGGUGGAGCCUGCGGUUUAGUUGGACUCAACGCCGGAAAUCUCACCGGAUAGGACAGACAAAUAGAUUGCCGGGCUGAAGACUCUGCAUGACUAGCUGAGAGGUGGUGCAUGGCGUAGACGUCU
Molecule: ribosomal RNA, 261 nt
Filed under: uncultured archaeon
Lineage: Archaea
Description: partial 16S ribosomal RNA
Rfam family: Archaeal small subunit ribosomal RNA
Source: RNAcentral